GCUUUGUCCUCCUUAUUCAGUAUUAGGAAGACCGUUUCAAUUGACGUCCUUUCGUAAACUAUUUAAGUUCACGCUUAAAAAAUGCAGUGGGGCAGCUGUAUAAAGGGAUUUGGCGGUGACCAAUUGCGGGGAACGAAACAACAAGCCUGCCAGUUGCUUUUGCCUUGUGCUGCCACCUUGUGGCGCUCAGUUUGUUAUUCUUCCCGCGCGACUUCUCCCAGCCGCUGGCAACAUCGAGUUGGAAACAACGAGGAAGCGAGAUUUUUUUAAAAACUUGAGAUAGUUCAUAUUGUUGUGUAUUUUAAUAGGUCGACCUUUUAUAAAUGAAGGUUAAUACCUCAGGGGUACAUCGAGAAUGUAUGGUUGAGUGUGGGUCGGAGUAUACUCAGGAGGAAUCAAAUGCCCAGGCUUGGCAGGAAGAAGGUGGUGCGGUCAAUGCUUUCAUUUUAUGUCUGAAGGAGAAUUGAGAAGGUAUCUGUCUUAAAGAGGAUGUCC
Long non-coding RNA from Mobula hypostoma (lesser devil ray), 495 nucleotides. RefSeq lists it as uncharacterized. The record is from RefSeq and is a predicted model, not a curated record. The transcript is spliced from 4 exons. NCBI's taxonomy places the organism in Eukaryota, Metazoa, Chordata, Chondrichthyes, Myliobatiformes, Myliobatidae.